UGAGAAACUUGUCCAUCUUCUUCGGUUUCAACCAGACCCAGUUGAAAAAUCUCCAUCCGUAUAUCAUCACUAUCACUCCAACAACACAUACCACUGUGUUCAUCAUACUAAAACUUAGCUCCAUUUCUAAAGGAUAUUGAUCGAGGUAGGGUGCUUUUCUUUUCUCUAACUAUGAAGAUACACACUGUGUUUAUAGGUUCAAGUUCUAAUACUAAGUAGUAGCAGGUGAGUCAAAGAGAAAUUGUAAUUGAUUUAACUUUUGACUUUUGAGUCUUGUUGAUGAUGAAUAAAGGGACAGGAUUUUUCUACGGAUAAUGUUCAAUCAAGUCCCUUGUGUUUGAGUUAUUAUAGUUAUGAUCCAUGUGUUAUUGUUUUUCAGUAGUCUUCUCUACAUAAAGAAAGUGAAAUUAUUUUUACAAUUAACUCAAUAACAUCAUUCAUUUGUAGUUUGAUCAAAUCCACUAACAUGGAUUGUUAACUUAUGAAUAAAACAAUUUGAUAACAAACUCCAGUUUUCCAAAAUGACAUAACAAAGAUAUAUGUUUUAGAUUAAAAUUAUAAAUUAAUAAAAGGAAAUUUCUCAUAAAAGUAAAACUCAUAAUCAAUUUGUAUAUUUCAUCAUCUUCGUGAUCGAUUUUUCAAGUUGUGCUGCCACUUUCAUGUAUUUUAUGGGACAUAAAGACUCAAAUGAAAUGCAAGUGUUAAUUUUGGAGAGAAAUAGUACAGAAAACAAAUCUUUUAAGCCAGAUAUGUAAGUUAAUGCAAGUCGAGGUACAAAUGUUGUAUUUUAUUUUUAAGUGUAAACUAAAAAUGGAAAUUUGUCCCUACCCGUUGGGUUUGAGAUUGACGUCGUACUUGCUGCACAAGUCUUUUCCUUGCGGUCCACAACUAGUUUACACGUCUAUAUUUCCUUUUCUUAUUAGGGUUUCUUUGUUUUUUUGGAAACGCAUAUUGUGUGAAAAUGAUAUCUAAUCUUCUGUAUGAAGAUGUGUGCCAAACUUCUACAAACUAUAAUAAAAUUCUCUUUGUUUGUUACUACAAAAAUAAAUUGAAAUUAGACAUACAAUCAUUAAAAAAAAUUUAAAUAAAAAAUUUAUUUAGUUUUAAUCAUAUUCAAAUCGAAUAUAUAAAAAUUACUGUUAUAAUAUGAUUUUUUUAAAACAGUUAUAUAAAAUAAUUAAACAUAAUAAUUGCAAAAUAACAAUAAAUAAAAUUAUUAAUUUAACGAACAACAUCUCCAUUUUGUUAAAUUUUAGAUGAUGAUUAUUUUUUCGGUUAACUUCAACAAAUUUGAUAAUUUUAGUGAUUAACUAUAUAAUUUAUUUAACAAUGUAACAAAAAAAUAUUUAUAUGAAACAUACCAAACGGUUUUAAAUUAUAUAAAUUAAAUUUGAAUUGUUUAUAAUAUCCUUCAUAAUAUUAUUAAAAUAAUAAAAGUUUUGAAAAAAAUUUCAUGUUGAGUAAUAUACUUUAAAGUAAAGUGCAACACUACAAAAAAAAGUCCUUUUUAAUGACCAAGUUUUUAGUGACGACCUGGAAUCUGGUCACUAACUGCAUCCUUUGGUCACCAUGCACAAAGUCGUCACUGAAUUUUGGUAGUGAUACAAAUUCAGUGACCAAAUCUCAAUAGUUGUCACUACGAGUCACUAGUCCUCGUCAACGUUGACAUAUACAACCCUCAAUCGACGAAUACGCACCACUAUCUGGCAGUUCAACACCUCUCUCUCUGGUUCAUCGGCACGCUCCNNNNNNNNNNNNNNNNNNNNNNNNNNNNNNNNNNNNNNNNNNNNNNNNUUUCCAUCUAUCUACUCUUGCUCUGUUUUUUAAAGCGUGAAAGGUUAUUGUUGAUUGUUUUCUAUGGAUUGCUUGAUUAACUAAGUUAGCAAUUUCAAACUUAUGAAAUUACUUUUUUCGUUCUACUGUUAUUGCAAAUUAUGAUUCUUCUUCCAAUAUUCAAGUUAGUAGGCUUUUCUAUAAGAUACUUUUUUUGGUGUAAACGAUGCACGCAUGUUCGAUGAAAAUCCCCACACAAAAUUCACUAUCAUAAUAUUCGAUCUGUUUAAUUCAGGAGUUUUGGAAUAACAGUGUUAGUCCUAUCAUGGGUGAUUACACUGUAUACACUAAGGCAAAAUGGUAGAAAUGCAAGAAAUGCUUUCAGGAAAAAAUAUAUGAUUGGUUCCAUGAGCUAAGCCAACAUACUUUUGGUGAAAAACUUAUUGUUUUCCUUUUCCUUUGUGAUAAAAUGUAUGGUGCAUUCUUUUUUUACUCUUUUCCUUUAUUUUCCAAACAAUUCCUAUUUUCUUUCAAACUUAUCAAGUUAUAUUUUAUGAAACCUGAUGCAUUCUUUUUUCUUACAUGUGAUUCUUAACCUACAAAGAUGUUUGACAGAAUAGCUAAUCUAUCAAACAAUCAAAUAAUCAACUAUAGAUGUGAUCCGUUUGAGAAAUGGUUGGUGUUAAUUGGAAUUACCCCUAGCUCACCAGAGGUUUCUAUUUGACUAUUUCAUACUAUAACAUGUUAGCAUAUAGCACCACCUAUGGUAAAUUCAUGUGUUUUAAUAAUAGCCUCAUACCAUUUUGAUUUGAACUAACUUUUUCAGUUGAUCAGCAGCAAAGUCAAGCUCUUGAAGCACAUGUAACAUAUUUACUCUUUCAAAGUACAAAAGAUAAUUUCAAAUGGGUUUUUUUUUCUUUUUUUCCUUCAUCAAAGUACAUUGGUAAUAAUAACAUAUUUAUAUGCCUUCAACAUGUUGUUGGCAAUGAGAAUCCUUUGAUUCUAAUUUCUUUUGCAACAAAAGCUCGAAUCUUGGACAAGUUACUUCAAAGCUUCAUGUCAGUGAACCAUGUUUAUUCUCUUAACAUAUUGUUUUCAUUUUCAUUAAUUUGGGGUUUCUUAUUUAGAAAAGCUAAUGCUUUUUGUUUCUAUACAUGAAGGAAAACCCGCAUUCACUAAAAGCAAAAAGAUUUUUUCUUUCCUCACCACUUUCAAGAUGAUUUUCCAAUUGACAUGUAGGUAAUAUGUUACUCAUUUUGUGUUUUGAAAUAGGGAGUUGCAUACUUGCAUCAUCAACUAACAUAUUGAUUUUUUAUUUAGCACUUGUUAUUUUAGUGGGAAAACUCACUAGAGAACUACUAAGAAAGUUGCGAUCUUUUGGCCCACAAUAAUCUUUUUUACACUUAACAGAGGAUACUCCUUCCUAUCUAUCUUGGUUGACUUUUAACUGUCAUCUCAUCAUGAGACUACAUUUUAAGAUACCCAUCAUAUACAACUAUUACUGUUCUCGGGUUUAAAAUGAAGGGUAUGGUGGCCAACCCAAACACGUAAUUAUCAUUUAUCAAUCACUUUUGUAAUUGUAUUAAAUGAACAAUAUGAUAUUUGGUUACGUUUUAUCUUUCAGACAAUAAGCUAUAUGGCAGAGCGCAUGCUUGGCCAAGAUUCUUUUGAAAUUAUGUUUCAGGUAAUACUUUGAGUCUUGAAGCAACAACUCUAGUGGAAUUACUUUUUUACCCUCUUGUGCAUGCCAAGUGCUUAGAAAGUGGAGAAGCUAUUGCAAUUAAAAAGGUAGUUAAAGAUAAACGAUACAAUCGUCGCUUAAUGUUCCUUGAUGGAUUUGAUUAUGGAAGUAUUUGUUCUAAUUUAUGUCUUUUCGUAAUAUGUAUCCCCUUUCAUCAACUUUUCUGGUGAACAUUACAUUUGUUUCUUAGUUUAAUUUAGGAUCUUCUCAACAUAUCUCUGGUUCAUCCCCUGGCCCUUUCACAUCCAUCCAAGCAACUUACACAAGUAAGACUUGAAAAUACUAGUUUUCUUGAAGUUUUUGAAAUUGAAAUAUACUCAUUUCAAUAUGGCCUCAAAAUGUGUCUUAUUUUUAAGAUAAUGGAUUUUGGUGAAUGUGGCUAUGUUCGUUGUUCCCAUUGUAAACAUUCUUUCCAUUCAUGAAAUUUGCUGACCGUGGAAGAUGUUUUCAUCUGUAACUUUUGUGGUGAGUUUAUAUCUCUUGAUUUCUGUACAUAAUGAUAUGCAUAAAUGUAUAAAUAUAUCUUAUAAUAGUAAUACAAAUAAUGCAAAUAUGCAUUACAUGUUGCUCUUUACAUGGUUCGCAGAUGAAACUCCUCAUGAUUAUCAAUGCAAUCUUGGUCCAGAUGGCAGGCGAAGAGAUGCUGAUGAAAUACCCGAGUUUUGUAGAAGACCAAUUAAAUUUGUUACCAUAAGGGAAUUUCUUGUUACCAUUAAUUUGUAACCCACUGAAGAUAUUAAGUUAAAAAUAAACAAAAAUUAUAUUAUUGUAUUAUUAUUUUUAUAUUCAAUGGCAGUUGUAUUCUUCUUCCUAAUUUACAAAUCAAUUUGUAAAUGGGUUAAAUACAAGAAAUAGCAACAAAAAUCAAUGACCAAGGUUUUUUGGUAACUAAUUGGAUAAAUUAGUGACAACUUUUUAUGGUCACUAAUUGAAUAAACUAGUGACGACUUUCUAAGGUCACUAAUUGGAUUAGACAGUGACGACUUUUUAUGGUCUAUAAGUAGAUAAAUCAGUGACGACUUUAAUUGUUUAGUGACAACAUUUAGUAACGAAAGGGGUCGUCAUAAAUUCAGUGACCAUUAUGUUUUAGUCACUAUUUAGUGACUACUUUUACAUUUUCGUCACUAAGAUAUUUUUGUGACGGACCUAUAGUGACGACCAAAAUUUUGGUCACUAAAUCGCUUGGUGACGAGUCCUUCUAUUGUUAGUGACCAUUUUGUUUUCGUUACUAAUUGGCAUUUUUCUUGUAGUGGUGAGAACCGGUUUGAAAAGGAAGGUCGAGUGAUGCGCCGCGCAACACACACAUCAACUUUUAAGUCGGAAGUCUUUUAGAAAACAAACAAUUGCGAAAUGUCAAGUGUUGUGCGUGUUUUGCUUGGCGGACCCCGAAAUAGNGCUAGCAUGCUGUUCUAUUAUAUCAUAAUAUCAAAUAAAUGUAUGGUAUUUUGGGGUCUACUUACUGGCUCCGACUGAUCGUACACUUUGCAUCCUCCUUUACUUAUUUUGAAAACAAUUUAAAAUUAUUUCGAAAAUCUUUUUCCUUAGUUUGAGACUAGAUUCACACGAAUGUUCCUCCAAUUCACUCAAACCAAGGCUCUGAUACCAACUUGUAACACCCAAAAAUUUCAAGACAAAUUUGAACUUUUCAAAACAUUUAAAACCCAUAGUUAUUACAGACUUGUUUUCAAAAUAGUCUAUAUCAGAGUUUUUCCCAGAAACAUAAAUUAAACAUGAGGAGCUGUACGAUCAUGCUUUCUCCUUGCCGCGAUCCCCCGAUGUACCUGAAACAAUAAACUAAAACUGUAAGCCCGAAAGCUUAGUGAGUUCCCCCAAAAUAUCGAUACACUGCACAUAACACAUAUACAAAUAACAGCAUAUACUGGGUCCACAACUUUACAGAUUGGGUUACCCCUUGGGCCCAUAAUUUGAGUAUGGGUUUCCUUACGGGCCCACAACUCACAUCUGGAUUGCCACCGAGCGCACAGUAUGAGUCUCCAUCAGCUCGUAUCUGGAAUGCUGUCGGGUUUGCUGAUUACUGCACAAAGCAGUAUCUCCUCAACCCAUCUCACAUAAUAUGUCGAUAUAUACCAUAACUAAUGCACAUAUAGAUAAUCAUACAGAAUCACAGAUAGUUCUAUAGAUCUACCAAACUAGCAUACCACUGUCAUACAUUACUAGCUCAAACUCAACAUAUCAAUAACUACUAGGAUAUAAAAUCCAAUGGGCCGGCCUUGGUGCCUUAGACCCCUUAAUACAGUGAGGAUAACUCACCUCGCAAGUAGCUCAGAAUAUAGUGUCAAACUCCUCCAAAUGUAACUCCAACUCCAACACCUAUAUUCACCAAUGUCCUUUGCUAUAAUGUCCAAUUUACCAAAAAUACCCUCAGAAGUCAACUGGUCAAAGUCAAAGUCAACUGCCAAGGUCAACAGUCCAUGUUGACCUCAACUCGUCGAGUAUCCUCUGCUACUCGCCGAGUUCCUUGCAUAACUUGCCAACUCGCCGAGUCACUCGUUUGACACGCCGAGCACAAGGCAAUCUUCAUCGGACUCGCCAAGUCAUUCUACUGACUCGCCAGGUCUAUUAUAAUCUUCAUCUGAGUCGACCAUGCCACUCGCCGAGUCCCUUCGGUCCUUCAUCCACACAGAUGCUUUUUAAGCCAUGCUAAGGAUCCAUACUACAAAUUCAAGCUCCUAGGACAUGUUUAUCACGUAAAGUUGCAAGAUUUACGUGCAUGCAAUAUGCUAAUGACUUAAAUCAAGAUAAAGAAGAGGUUAUAGGAAAAGAGCUUCACCAACAUGCUAAAGACUGAGACUUUAUGAUGAUAAGAGCCAAGAUGAGCCUAGAUCUGAAGUGGCAACUUCAGAUCGUGGUUCAUCACACGAAAUGCAAUACCAAAAGCCCUAAAAUGGACCCAAAAGUCAAAUAUAAAAGGGAUCUAGUUAGAAUGAAUAUGGAAUAAUCAUUUUAGUUAUUUUAAGAAAAUGAUUUACCUAUAUUAUUAAAUUAAAAAAAAUAGAAUAAUAACAUUUAAUUAAAAGAAUGGUAAUAUAGUACAUUUGCAUUGCCUUAAAUAUGGAAAGACAAAUUUAAUAAAAAAAAAUUCGGAUUUUUAGGGAUAUUUGAUUAUCUUAAUUUUGAAUUCUAAUUUGUUUUAAUUAAUUCAGAUUAAAUAAUUCUAACUUAAUUUUUAAGCAUAUGCGGUUUUAUUCUGUCAGGACGACUUUCUUUUAUAAUGAUUUUGUAUGAAAAUGCAAGUCAUAAACUAAUAAAGAGUCUUACUUCUCGAAAAAUAACAAAAUUUUGGAUACAUGCAUGUUAAUUUUUUCUAUCACACUCUAAAAAAAUAAAAAACUUUAUAUUCUAUUCUAUGAUAAUGAAACACUUACCACUAAAAAACAAACACAAUUUGUUGAUUAUUCUAUAAGAAUAUACUAUUAAACAUAUCCUUAUCAUUCUAUUGUAGAUUAUUCUGCGAGAAUAUAAUGAUGAAUAGUGCUUUCUUUGGUGACCAUUGUUCAUCUUCAUUACAUAUACCAUCAUCUAACCUUCAUGUCAUUGAUCACCAUCUUCACUUCACGCAUUCUAUGAGAAUAACUUUCUUUAAGCCUUUAUAUAACAAAUAAUAAAACAAACUUUAGUAAUUCUAAUAAAAUGCAUAUCGUAUGGUCAGAUAUAAUACUUUUUACAAUAAUAUAAGAAUGUCUACAAAUUAUUCUAAUAGAAGGAUACCUUAGCUACAAAAUAUUCUUAAAGAAUAUAAAACGUGUUGAUCAAAUGCAGCACACAUAGAGAAAAAAAGGAGUUGAUGGUACCCGAAUCAAGAAACCUAAAAUUUUAGAGUUGAAUUGAUCAGUAAAACCCAUGUGCUCUUAACUUGUAUUCUCAAACUCUUUGGUGAUCUCAUUUGCUCUUAACUCAACAACCUUUUAGCCAACUUCAGGCUUGUUUAGUAUGUGGUAUAAAUUGCGUAUACACAACUAUAGAAUAUGUGUUCGGUUCCUUUUAAGGCUCUCCUUCAGAAAUCACAUCCGACAAUCACAAUUACAAAGAAAUCCAAAAAUUACUAAAUACUCAAAAUAUCUAUUCAAUUUUCUUUUAUUUUUUCUAUCCUUCCAAUCUACAAAAAAAAGAAACUUACAAGCGAGUUGUUUCGGUUUAUGAGAAAAAAAACCCAUAAGUAAUAGAAAGCAUACAUUGAUAAGUAGAAAACACAGAGAGCAAUGGGUAUGUGAACAAUACUUAAAGAACAAGCUAAGAAUAGCUGCCAAGUUAUCUUAGCCCCUAUUUACAUAUCAAUAUUAUAAAAAAAGAAGAUGAGAAAUGAACAAUUACCAUUGCAAACAUUAUAUUUGAUAGUGUUUACUUCUAACUGUCAACCACCACCCAUAAACCUUUCAUCCCCAACAUCACCAUAUGCAUCUUCCCACUCCCCUCUGUCGGUGGAAAGAAAUAACUAAAGUUUCAAGAAUAAAAAGUAUCCAAAAAACACUUUUAAAAAGUACCCCAAUUUAAUCUACGAAUCAAUUAUAAGCCCUAGCUACAAAUUUCCUCCACACUUAACUCGUGAAUCCUAUGAAGUAUGGAAAAAAAAGAACUAAAGAAGAAGAUGAAGAUGAUCAAUAAAGUGAUUAUUAGAAUUUGAGAGGUAGAGAUGGAACUUGUAAGAAAAGAAGGAAGCGCACAGUAGAUCGACAUUGAAAUUUUGACCACACGACGAGCUAAUGGAACUCAAGUCGUGAUAAGAAAUCGAACAUGGAUGGAGAAGAUAGCGGUGGAGAGAAACAGCUAGCGUAAUCGGAAGAAAUAUACCAAAAACUAACAUAUAGAUUGAUAAGGAACUGUCGCUACUUUCAGUGGAAAAAAAAACCCUAAUUUCAUAUAAGGGAAAACGAAUGUGAGAGAGAGAGAGAGAGAGAGAUAAUGUUAGAGGCGGUGGGAUAAGGAAAUGUUAGAAAAAAAAAAACCAGUUUGUGCUUUAUUUUAGAUGAUAGUGUAGAAAAUCGAUUAUGCCAGGAGCAUAGUAGCAGGCAAUGAGUGUAUAUUAGAAAUUUCAUGUAGAAAAUGGAAUCGAGAACUUACAUGCGAAAAAUCGAUGAUCGAUGAGAGAAUAGGUUUGGAUGAAUCGAUGAAGUAGAUAGUCAAAUGGAGAUGGUGGUGUAGGUUACUGUGUUGAAGAUGUUUGCCUAAAUAGGGGAUUAAAAAUUAGUGAUAAUGUUUAGUUUCCUAAUUUAUUAGGAUUUAGGUUAUUAAAAUAAUUAAUGUGAUUUAGCAGUGUACUAUAAUACCCUUGUCUAUGUAUUUGAAAUGAAUGGUUCAUAUUAAUCCCUACAUCUACACAAUACUUAGUUAUAAUACNNNNNNNNNNNNNNNNNNNNNNNNNNNNNNNNNNNNNNNNNNNNNNNNNNNNNNNNNNNNNNNNNNNNNNNNNNNNNNNNNNNNNNNNNNNNNNNNNNNNNNNNNNNNNNGCUUCGAUUUAAAAUUCGGGGCCGUGACCCGAAGAUCAAGUAUCAUAAGUCUUCGAGCUUUGGGGAAAGAGAGGUUUAGGCCCAUUUGGAUGUGGAUAAUGUAGAUUAUGUGAUCCAAGAGUUCAGUUUAUGCUUUGGAGCCAAGGGUAUAUUGGUAAAAAGGCAAUGGUCCGGGUCUUUCAUGAAUUUUUUAUUUAAUUUCGGAAAGUUUUAACGCUAAGGAGAGUUGGUAGGAUUGUAGAGCUUCUCAUUACCUUUCUGUGGAUAUAAGGAUCAUCGAAAUCGGAGUUAGAACCAAGAACUUAUGGCCUUCGGAAGUGAGGAGGAUGUUGGGUUUGUCCGGUACGCUAGGCAUACAUAGGUGUACUCUAGACGUAUUGGUCUAGGUGAUCGUGAAUGGACCAUGGAGUACGAUAGGCGUACCUGGAGUACGAUGGGUGUACCUGGAGUACGCUGUACAUACUCCAGUCAGGUGCAAACCCUAAUUGAGGGGCUUGGACCCUAUUUAAAGGCCUUGAAUCAUUCUCAAAACCUCUUAUCUUCAGCCUCCAUCCUAUUUAACCCUAAAUUUAAAUCCCUAGCCUCUCUUGUGUGAAUUUCAAGCCUUGGUGUGUUCUUUUGGUGUGAUUUGGAAAAAAAUAGAUAUUGUUAGAAUCAUUGCUUGGCAUAGAGCUUGUGGAUCCAAGCUCUAAUCAUCUUCAACAACUUCCAAGAGGUAUAAAGCUUCUACGUUGAUGACUCUAUGUGUUAGAUCUAGUCUAGGGCUUGUUUUGGGUUUAUUUUGGUCCUUAGAGUCAUCCUUGUGAGUAUGAGCUACUCAAGGAGCUUAGAAUCCUAGAUCUAGCAUUUUUGAGAUUUAUGGUGCACAAAAAUGUCAUCUUGUUGGGUUUUGUUGAACCAUGCUUAAGUUGGUGUUCAUAUUAUGCCUUAGAUGGAUAAAAAUGGGUUUUGGGUCCCAUUAAGACAUGCAAAGGAGUAAAGUUGGCAAAUUUAUGGAUUAAGACCUUAUUUAGAGGUUAGACCUCAAUUUGGCCAUUUUGGUAUUAAGCAUUAAGUGUUUAAUGAAUGUUUUUGUCACUUGGUGAGUACGUUGGGCGUACAAAUGUGUACGCUCAUCAUAAUGCAUGGAGUCCCCAUUCUCAGGCUAAGAAGAGUUGUACCUUAUACAACAGUAGGCGGUACGCAGGACGUACCAAUCUGGUAUGUGGGGCAUAUGCCAGAAACCCUCUUUUGCAUGGUAUGUCGGGCUAGGCCCAUUUGUAUGAUGGGCUAGGCCUAUGGACCAGGAAGGGUUAGACCUAAUGUAUGUUAUGUAGGAUUCUAGUUGUCUCUGUGACUCUCGCAUUGUAUUUCGGGCUUGGCCCAUUACUGUGGGUUGGGCCCAAUGUGAGGGCUAGGCCCAACGAUAUGUAUGGUAUGUGGUAUUUUGGGGAACUCACUAAGCUUUGUGCUUACAGUUUUAUGGUUAUAGUUUCAGGUACUUCCGGUUCAAAAGGGAAGGGCCCGACUUGAUCACAAUGCAUCCACUCAUAUUUCCGCAUUUUGUGAUUUUGGAAUUGUAUUAUGAUAACUAUUUUUACUUUGACAUGCUUUUGAAUGAUUGAAAAGGAUAAAUGGUAUUUAUGAUUGAAUUAAAAAUGAAAAUUUUACCUUAUAAUUUUGGGCCAUAUGUUGGGCUUUGAGCCAUAGUUGGACUUUUGGGCCUUUGGAUUGGACCUUGGGCUUGAAUAAAGCCAAGUUAUAGGUAGAGUAGCCUUUUACCCCCAAGCAUGGACUCGUGGUUAUGUAGUGGAACCCAAUUAUUAACUGGGUGUUAUUUUGGUGUUGACAGUUCGGGAAUCUGUCAUCCAACAGUUGGGGUUGAGUCUGCGGGAUUUGAACAAAGUAGGAUUGUGUCUACGGGACUUCAGCAGUGUGAGGUGAGUUCCCUUCCAGUAACGGUGGGUCUACGGCCACAAUGUUGGCCCACCAGUAGGAGUUGUAUGUUAGAUGAUUGCCUUUGUGAUAUUCAUCUAGGUUUGCUACUACCUGAUAUGUUUAUGUGCUAGUAUGAUAUGUUAUAUGUGAUAGUGGUAGUAAGGGGAGAAAAGUCCCCAAGUUCGGUCGUUAGCACCGAAGGGUAGGUUGGGCACCCCAGAAUUGUCUGACAGCAUGUUUAUGCUAUGUUAUUGUGUGCUAGUAGUAGGAGGUGAAAUAGUCCUCGUAUGGACCGACGGGUAAGUCAAGCACCCCAUAAUGGCUUGACCUGGGUAAGUCAAGCACCCCAGAAUGGCUUGACCUAGGUAGUCAGGCACCCCAGAAUUGCCUGACAAUAUGUUAUUGUAUGGUAUGUGGUAUGAUGGGGGAACUCACUAAGCUUCAUGCUUACGGUUUACAGUUAGUUUAUAUAUAUAUAUAUAUAAACUAACUUGGGUGGCUUAUUAUUCAGUAUGAAAGUCCGUUAGAGGCUUCUCUUACCGUGUAGUGCAAACCUACCAUUGGUGCUGAUAUUCUUGGUAAGCUACAACAUUGACCGACAUGUAAUGCUCUUUUUCGGCGUUCAUUCUUUGGUCGGUAGCUAAUAUAUAUUUCUUGUGGGCAUGGAUGGGGCCCUUUGUUUAGCAUUAUAUGUUUUUCAACGUGUAACGACCCAAAAAUCACGACUAAAAAAUUCAUUUUUAAAACGUUACUUAAACCACAAUUGUCAAUCCAUAACAUAAAUCUUAACAUAAAAUCAAAGUGUUAAUUCAAAACAUGUUCUUAUUAUCAGAGUAAAACAUCCCAGGCUGACUAACUAUGGUGUGUGCCAUGCGAUCAUCCCAAGCUCUCCCCUCCGCUACCGGAAGUACCUGAAACCAAAACUAAAAACUGUAAGCACGAAGCUUAGUGAGUUCCCCAACCUACCACAUACCAUACACAUAAUUGCAUAUUGCCAAUACUGGGCCUCGCCCACUACCUCGGGCCUCGCCCGCUACAACAGGCCCCACCUGCUCUAGGCCCCGCCUGGCUUCGAGCCCCGCUCGCUGUACAAAUUUGUUUCUCUUAGGCCCUGCAUGUCUCUAGGCCCCGCCCGCUAAACAUAUACAAACAUAUAACAUAUCGCAUAACACAUAAACCAUAACUACUCUACUGCAUUCCUGUACUAAGGCCUCGCCUAUCUUAGGCCCCACCCCUGUCCUACUAUUGAUGAGUCAUGGAACCCCGUCCACACUCCUGUUGAUAGUGAGAUACGAGCCCAUCCUACACUCACUCGUUUCCUAACUUGGGCCUCGCCCCUACUCGGCUACUGAUGAGAUAUGGAACCCCAUCCAUACUAUGCUAAUAGUGAGAUACGGGACCUCGCCCACACUCACCCCCUACCAGACACAUAUAAGUAUCACACAGACAACAAGUAUACUCUAUCAUGCAAACCAUUCCUUGGGCACCCGCCCGACAUUGGACCUUGUUCCUAAAUAUCAUACUAGCAAACAGUUCCUAGGGCUAACCCCCAGGUCUUCCUACUCAUAACUACAUGGGCCGACAUUGUGGCCGUAGACCCAUUCACACAAACGAAAACUCACCUGCACUGCUGAACUCCGCUGAUAACCCUCUGGCUGCUACCCGACAACUCUCCGAACUGCUGCUCCUCUAACUCCCAAGCUAACAAUACCAAUACAACACUUAGCCUAACUGUCCUCCCGAAGUCAACUAGGUCAACUCUGGUCAAGGUCCUUCUCAAGGUCAGAUUCAACUUCCAGUUGACUCGACUCGCCGAGUUGUUCUACCAACUCGUCGAGUCCAUGCUUCGCAAAUCCGAAAACAACCUUGACUCUACUCGUCGAGUCUAGCAACAACUCAACGGGUUCUCCUUCAACUAAACAUUCGGGACCAUCUUCAACCGACUCGCUGAGUUGUAGAACAACUCGUCGAGUCCAUCUUCAUAAGCUAAGGAGAUUUUCUUGGACUCGCCGAUUUCCUCCUUGAACUCGUCGAGUACCAUGAUCUUCAUGUCCAUUAUGGACACAGAUUGGCUGAGUCCUUCUCUAACCCCACUCACUGAUCCGACUCAUAAACAGAAGGGUUUGGGUUUACAGCCCGACUCGUUAAGUCAACUAACUGAUUCGCCAAGUCCAUCUUGUGACAUCUCUAUUUUGUCGAUUACAGUCCAUCCCAACACCUCCAACUCAUAGAUCUUGACUCCUUAUGCUAGCAUUGCACGUAAAGUUGCUAACUUUACGUGCAUGCAAGGUGUUAUGAGGCUAAAAUACUUAAUCCAAGCUUCUAAGAAAACCUAGGUCAUGAAAUGGGACCUUAGCUGGAUAAAGCCAACAACUUUGAGCUUCUAAAGCUCAAGAGUGUCCAGAUCUGUUGUCCAAACCAUGCUCAAGGGUUUAAUACUCAGAUUGACCUUGGAAAUGAUCCAAAUGUGACCAAAAGCAAGCUAGAAAGGGGAUCUAUCAAUUGAAAGCUUAAGGUCUAGACAUUUUACCUUCUAACAGUUUCCAAAUCGAUAUGAAGGAUGGAUCUACACUUCCUUCUUUUCUCCUUUCUUCCAAGCCAUCAAAAUCCACUCCAAUGGACCUUAAUCUUCACCAAAAGCUCCAAAAAUGAAAUUGGGUGGCUAGGGUUUUGGGGUUCUGGAUAAGAGAUGCUGUAAUGAACCCUAGGGAAGGGAAUAAGAUGCUUAAAUAGGGUAUCAAGUCCCGGAAUUAGGGCUUUCCCAUCCCAGACUAGACUCGCCGAGUUGGUCACUUAACCUGCGACACGGAGUCCGCUUCGACUCGCCGAGUCAUUCCUUGGACUCGACGAGUUGACCCCCUUUUGACUUAGGGUUUUCCUUUCCUUUCUUGGCAUUUCUGAUUCUGGGUGUUACACAACGAAGUUGUUAAAACCUACAAAAUGAAAUGGAGGAAAUGUCUUUUGAGAGUAAAGAGUACGAAUUCACUUUUAGGAGGAAAAAAGAUUGUUUUUACAGGGUUCCUACUUUGUAAUUAUUUCCUAGCUUCAUAGUCCGGUUAUGAAUUCCAGUCAGGGUGUUUCCUUUGGUUAAAGCAAGCAGCCCGGUCAGGUUGGAACAUAUAAAGAGCAUAUUUGAUAAAUCCCCAUGAGUAAUCGAACGAGGAUGCGAUAUGAGUAUGUGUGUGUGUUGUACACUUGUACUUGUUGGAGAAGAGAUUUAGUUGUUGGUUGCCUCGUUAGCAUGUGAAAGAUGAGUUCUUAGGCCUCGUCCAACUUUGAGGACUUGAACAUGUAUCAUCUUGUUUACCGAUUAUAGGUACUUUUUGAAUGUCAUUUAUAACUAUUUUGGGUUAAAUAAUGAUUUUAUUUUUAUGACACAAUUACCGUACCCAUAGGACAUGAUAACCGCGAAAAAGAAUGAAAAGUGAAAUGUGAAGGAGAAAUGCUAAACGUCAAGCCAAGGCGAUAUAGAAUUAAUGUAUUGUCGGCUUCAAUACUCAAGAAUAAGAUGACAAUUAGGGUUGCACUUUAAAUAUAUAAAUAUCAUUAUAAUUUAUGAAUUAGUAAUUAAAUUAUUGAUAUAUAUUAAAUUAAAUGUAUAUUAAACCCAACCCAACCCAACUCAUUUAAGAACAUGGGUUAGACGAGUUGACUAAUUUAACUUAAACGGUUGAAAAGUCUCAACCUAACUCAUUAAUUUUGGGUUGGGUUCGGAUCGGGUCGCUUCUUGCCUACCAUACUUCCACUUAUUUUAUUGUAAGUCAUAGAAAAGUCUUUGUAUAUAAAAAAAUUGUACUUUCCAAAAAUAAAAUCUUGAUGGCAAUCUGAUAAGUUUUUACACAACCUCCAAAUCAUGCCUUAAUUAUUGUAUAUUGAGAAUAACAUAGAAAACAUAUAAUAAUAUAUUUAUUUGUGUUUUGCUCCAACAACCACUAAAGUUUGCGUAGAAUCAAUUGAGCACCAUACUGAGGUUGUAGAGUGAGGAUCAUUUGUGGAGCAUGUGCGUACAAUGGAGAAAUCUCAAAGGAAAAACCUCUUAAAAUCAUAACAAGUGCUAAUUUUGCUUCGAGCAUUGCAAAGUUUUGGCCGAUACAUAUACGUGGACCCCCUCCGAAAGGGAAGUAUGAUGCUUGUUCCUUAGUUGCGUUUGACACACCUUCUGCAAAUCUCUCAGGCUUGAACUCUUUCACGUCAUCACCCCACAUUUCAUUGUCAUAAUGUAAAAGCAUCAUAUGUAAUUGGAGGAAUGAACCUGCUGGUAAGGUUAUGUUUCCUAAUGUAGUUUCUUUAUGAAUCAUCCGUCCCAUUCCUAUAACAGCCGGGUAUAACCUAAGUACCUCGUGCAAGAUCAUAUUAAUCUACAAAAUAAAUAAUUAUUACUAAAAAACUCUUGUCAAGUACAAUAAUAAAAAAUGUGAGGAGGAAUGUGAUCGUGUUUUUGUUUAUUUGUAGCGAGUGGGCAUCAUAUUCUUGCAUUAAAAAAUAUAUUGAUUGGCCUGAGCACAUUUUUUAAACUCGAGAUUUAGUUUGGUAUAAAAUACAUCACCUGAUUCAUUAUGCGUUUAUCUACUUAAUUAACGGUUUGGUAAAUCCAAUCACUAGAAGAAGAAGAAAAACUUACAACUUUUACACGACUUAAUCCGUCAAUAUCUGGUUUUCUGUCUCCAAACACUUUUAAAACUUCAUCUCUAGCACGAUCUUGCCAAUUUGUGUGUUGGCCUAACAAAAUCAUUGUCCAAACAAGCAAAUUUGCAGUAGUUUCUUGCCCGGCAAAAUAGAAAAGUUUGCAUUCUUGAAUGACUUCUUCGGUAGUAAGUCCGAAAUUGGUGUUCCCUUGUUGUUUGAUUUCUUUGUAAUUGGAAUCCAAUAAUAUUCCCAAUAAAUCGUCGCUACUAUUUUCCCCGGCUUUCAUUGUUGUCACUCGUUUAUUAAUAAUUUUGUUUACUGUAGCCCUCACAUCUCGGUCAAUCUCCUUCGUCCUUCUAUUACUCUUUGUAGGCAAAAACCUACAAAAUCAUAAUUGCAUAAGCAAACAGUUUUGCAUGAUUUCUUUUUGGAAUGAUUAAGAGGCUAAAAACCAAAAUUUAUUAUUGGAAAGUAUGCUCACCGGGAACCUGGAAUAUACAACGAUUGUAAAGCCUUCAUAACUAACUCUGUUUGUUCUUUUUGAAGUUCAAAUAUUUUUCUUCCUUCCUCAUAGCUGCUACCAAAUGCUGUACGUGAAAUUACAUCACUAGUAAAUGUUUGGAGAUGAGGGUACACAUCCACUUCACACGAUCUUUCUUUUGUUAAUACUUCCCAUUUGUUGAUCAUAUCACUGCAACUAAUGUAAAAAGCUGGCACCAUAUGCUAUAAAAAGGAGAAUUAAUGGAAUCAGGGUUUAUUAAUUUUAAUUACGUACUGAAACUUUUGCUCUGGUAAUCUAUAAAGAAGAUGAACCUUAAGCUUUUCGACAUGGAAUACAGGAUUGAUAAUCUUUCUAUGUUUUGCCCAUUGAUCAGCUUCAACAUCUGCUAGCCCUCUUGCUACCAACUUUGCCAACGGAUUUCCUCCAUUUAACUUUUGAAAUCGAGAAUAAUUUGCCAAAAUCUGUCGUAUUAGUGCAGGUUCUGUAAUGUGCAUCAUAGGUCGUGGGCCCAUCCAUGUAUAGAAAUUCUUUCCUUUACCUGAAUACAAAUAUCCAUCGGAUACAUAAAAAUUUAAAUGCAGAGGCACCACAUAAAAAUCUAUAGUUAUGCUCAUUGUACUUUGGUCUUUGAAAUAGCUUCAUGUAUGUGACACAUAGAUGUGAUCAGCAUAUAAAAUUUGGAAAGACAUGCUAACAGAUUUCACUGGUCAAGAUUUACUAUUCUGAAAACUUAUUAUAAAAUCUGAACGGUUUUAAAACUUCUAUAAACAUGAAUGGAUUUUUUGACCAAAAAAAAAUAAUAAUUUUCAGUUAAAAACUUUUCUAGAAAAUUUUCUUUGAAAAACUCAAAAGAUAACAUCUACUAUCAACGCUCAUAUGUAUACAUUACAUACCAUAAGUCUUAGCAGAGUUAUAAAGAUAUGGCAUGACACGUGGGACGAUAUCAUCGGUGAGAUUUAUGGGUUUCAAUUUGGCAUCAGCGGUCAUCUGCACCAUCUCUUUCAUGUCUCCAUAUAGAAAUUUGUAGGGAUUUCCGUUUAAGCCUUGUUCUCUGAGAAACUUGUCCAUCUUCUUCGGUUUCAACCAGACCCAGUUGAAAAAUCUCCAUCCGUAUAUCAUCACUAUCACUCCAACAACACAUACCACUGUGUUCAUCAUACUAAAACUUAGCUCCAUUUCUAAAGGAAGUAGGGUGCUUUUCUUUUCUCUAACUCUGAAGGUGCACACUCUAUUUAUAGGUUCAAGAACUGAUAAGUGAUAACAAGUAAGUCAAAGAGAAAUUGUACUUGAUUUUGACUUUUGGGUUGUUGGUGACGAACGAAGGGAUAUCAUUUAUCGAUAGAUAAUGUUCAAUCAUGUCCCUUGUGUUUUAGUUAUUAUGUUUAUGGUCCAUAUGUUAUUGUUUUUCAAUAGUCUCCCGUAUAAUAUGUAAUUGAAAAUGUUAUCUAUUAUUGACUUACAUUUUUACAAUUAAAUCAAUUACAUCACUCAUUUUUAGCUUGAUCAAUUGGUAUAUUUCAUUAUCUUCUCAUGGUUUUUUUAGUUCCGCUGUCAAUUUCUUACUGGACAUAAGGACCCAAAUGAAAUGCAUGUAGUAAUUUUGGAGAGAACGUACAAAAAACAAAUCUUUAAGCCAGAUAUGCAAGUUAAUGAUUACGUCCUACUUGCGGCACAAGAUAGACUUGCUGAGCAAGUCUUUUCCUUGCCAUAUUCAUACAAGUUGAGAGCUCCUUUUUAAGUUUAGUUUUGAGAUAUUAUUAAACUAAUCAAAAUUUAAAAAAUAUAUAAUAAGUAUAAUUUAUUUUUGGCAAAUUAAAUAAUCUAAUCUAUAUAAAUAAGUUUUUUUUAAAGAAAUAGCAAUUGUUUUAGUUUUUUUUUUUUUUUAAAUAAUCACUUUUUCUUAAUGAUUCAUUCCGGACAUUGGUUCACAUUUCAAAAUAUUUUUCAAUUUCUUUUUAAAGAAUCUUUCAUUCCGAAAUGUUCUAUCUCGGACAGGAUCUUUAAAUUUUAGAUUUUUUUCCCAAUUUAUUUUCAAAGGUUGCGGUUAUUUUUUUCAUAUAACCAUUAAAAAUUGUUAGAUUACUCGACUUCCUUUUAUUUUUUGGUAUUUACGAGACAACCAACAGGAAAAUCAGACUCGAGUCCUACCCAACCAUUAAUAAACUUGUACCAAAUUUAGUGAACCUUAUUUCUAAUGCAAUUAUAUAAUGUACAUUUAGAAAUAAUAUUUUGGAUUUAUUUACAAAAAGUGGCACUUGAUCUGAUAUUGAAACUUUAGAGGUUACUUAUUGUUUCCUUUAUUUAUUUGUGUGUUUUUUAAUACGGUACCAACUUAGAAAACAUAGUCCAAAAAUAUUGAAAUCAUGUUUGGAAGGUGAAGAAAAUGUCAAAAAUAGUUUGUUAUUUCGUAUUCAAAACCUCAGAAAGUUACUUAAUUAUUAUUCAUUAGUGACCCUCUAGUAACCUAGAAAAAUGUUAUAUGGUGUUGCUCAUUGCCUAUAAACUGCAUUCCGACUACUUCAAAAUGAUAUACCUUAUUCUGAAAUGCAAAGAAUAUUCUAGAAUAUAUACAAAAUUCAGAACAAACUCUAGAAUGAUUUCCUAGCCAACAUCUCUUUUGAAGUUAACCAAAUUAGGUGGCUCGAUAUUUUGCAUGAUGGUUCAUUCAAAGCUUCUCUUACUACGUCGAGCAAACAUGUUAUGAUUGACGAUAUUCUUGGUAAUCUACAACAUGUGAGGCUUUUUUCCGACAAUCAUACUUCAGUAGGUAUGUGGUUGAAUAUUCAUGCCAACGUGGAACGGGGGCCUUUGCUAAGCAUUAUAUGAUUUGCAAAGAAGUGUUGGAUUAUGUGUUUAGGCUCAUAACUAUAAUUGGUAUAAACUAAAAUUGAUAGCAACAUAGUCCGUUUUAAUUGUCCUCAAACCUAGCAACUGGACAUGAUGAUUUUUGGAAGAGAGACGUUGAUUUAUUAUUUGAUUAAUAAAUCGAAAUAAAUAGUUUAUUAAUAUAUUAUGAGAAUAAUAUAUUAAUUACAAAUAGUAAUAUUUAAUUAAUAAUUAAUAAAAAAUUAAUUGGAAUUAAUGGAAUUAAUUAAAAGUAUAGGGGUUAAGUGUAAUUAUUCAAUAGUUGAGUAAAAGACAUUCUACAACUUCCCUAGGCCUUGGACGGUUUCUAGAGGGUUUUAGGAGAUUUAGAAUUAUCCUUGGAGGACAAUUAGAAAGCUAUAUAAUUAUCAAUUCAAUAUAAUAUUAUUAUAUUGGUUUUGGGCUUAUCUAGAGUUUUCAUGUUGCACUAUAUAAACCCCCUUGACAUUGUAAUUUUCGGCCAACCUUUUGGAAGAAGAGAUAGCUGAAAAUUGGAAGUAUCCUCCCUCCCCUCUCCAUAAUUUCCUUCUUGCUAGUAGACGCGACAAUUGUGGUGUUUGCUUCCAAGAGAUCAACAACAAAUGUAUGUGAUUCUAAAUCCUUCUAUAGGAAAUUUUGAAAAUACCUAAGACUAGUAUAUUCUUGUUGUUUAAUAGAAUGUUACAUCAAUAGUGUUAUGACAUAGAUCUUUAGGUUGUGUGUACCUUUAAGUGUUAAGGAUUUAUCUGCAUUAAUCAGAGGCUGGUUGUCUAACAAUUGAUUGUACAUUGUUUGAACUUGAACAAGGAAAUGAACAGAAUCGUCAUUCUAUUCCGACACUAUGACGCGGUAAUUGUUUGCCACGAAGUGGUGGUCAAUCAGAUUGCCAAAAUCGGAUUUUGCUUAAAAUUCAUGAAUUCAUUAGGAUAAUUACCUUAAAUAAUGUUUUAAUUAUGUAAAACUGAAUAAUUAUCUUAGUAAUUAGAUAUCUUUAUCUUGAAUUUAUGAAUUAUCCAUAAUAAUUAUAUUUUAGUUGGUUUACUUUAAAUUAAAUUAAUUCCUUUAAUUUUGAAAAGUCUAAUUUAAACCUUGUAUUUUCAAAAAGUUUUAAAAUACACGUUAUAUUAUAUGUAGAAUCAAAUGUCUAAUUAUUACUAUAUGUAUAAGAAUAAGUCAAUCAAAUCAAUAGUAGGCCUCAUUCACGAAACCAUGUUAUAAAGAGAGUAUAAGGAAACGGCUUAUAAAAUGGUCAUUGAAUAGGUGUCCACUCUCACCCACCGCUCUCCUAUGUGGUCGAGGUCGUUAGUCGAACGGGUUUGAUAGGACAAUUAAUUUUCAUUAAUAAGUAUAAUGAAUUAAAAGUAACUAAACCUUUUUAUUAAAAAUCUUAAUCUUAGUUACUUUAGGAAAAAUGUGAAUUUGUAUGCUAACCCAUGAAGUUGCACAUUACACUUUAUAAGUCGUUACUAGAGCGUGUGUGGUUAACUGCCACACUAAUAGGGACUAAUAAAGGCUGGUAAUGGGUAUCUCAUAAAUUAUCAUUGUUGGUGGAGCGUGUUAGGUUAACCGACAUAUAAACUGAGAUGAUAAAUGACAAUGAGGUUACCAAACACAUUUGCAUAGUUAUUCACAUCUUGUUUAUGAUUUUCGGUAUCCCAGUCAUAAAUAGAAGAGCAUAAUCUGAGAUUAAACAUGCAAUUGAAUAAUUUCAAUGAGUCUCAAAAGAUCUAGGAACUUCAUCAACACUUAAUUUCUCUUUAAAAAUUUGUUUUCUAUUGGUGGAACUGGUAAUCAUCAUUUAUCUACCUUAAUAAAGUUUACAAUUAAAUUACGACAUCCCUUUUCUAAGUUGAGAAUUUUAUAGUUGGAUCCUAACCUUAAUAUUUCAUUUUUGGGUUGUAAUAUUAAGGAUUAUUCUUAUCUCAGUAAAAACUACCUUUCUUUUACAGAUGUCUACUCCAAAUGAUGCUUUUGGUUCCUCUUCCUCCAAUCAAAACUUCUCGUUGCUAAACAUUUUCUCAAUGGUGACAUUGGAUGGCCCCAAUUAUAAUGACUUGGAUGCACAACAUCAAAAUGGAUCUUCGUUUCGAGAAAAUGGUGUAUGCACUUGAGAAAGAACUAACUGAGAUAGACGAAGAGAAGGCCACUCCUGAAGAAUUAAUUGAAUACAAGAAACACUACAAUGAUGCAACAAAAGUUGUUUGCAUCAUAGUAGCCACCAUGACUCCUAAAUUGCAAAAGUUCUAUGAGGAUUACUGGUCGAAUGAGAUGAAUAGGGACUGUCACAACUAGCAUUCUUAGCUAGAAAAUUAUGUCCUCAUGUAAACAUCAACUAUUUUAAGACUUGUACUAAUACGUUAAAGUUUACAUUAUGAUUCCUAAUGAACCAUGUAUUGUUAAAAUGUAAAUCUCUCUUAAAUCUCUUUAUGUAUCUCAAAUCUCUCCCAAAUCUCUCUUUGUAUCUCAAAUCUCUCCCAAGUCUCUCUUUGUAUCUUAAAUCUCUCCCAAAUCUCUCUCAAAUCUCUUUACAUAUCUCCCUUAGUCGAAACCAACUCAAAACGAAAGAAGAAAACUCGAAAGAACAAGCCUAUUCCGGAAUACACUAUUCAUGCUCGGAACCUCUCUUCCUAGUCCGGAACCCUCUUGGUCCGGAACACCUCCCACUUCGGAACCGUCUGAUUUGGCUUCAAAAUCCCUUCACUCGGACAAUCUCGCUCCGGACGCCUGCUGAUCCGGAACCGCUGACUUCGGAAAGCCUCGCAUCACUCCAAAAAAACCAGCCACCGAGCCAUCUCGCACCUGGACCCUUCGUAUCUCGGAAGAAGGAACUCCAAAAUCUCUUGACCUCUUCGGACCCUCACAAAUUCAAGACUCCACUUUGGAUUUUUAUCCAUUUCGGACCUUUUCUUCAUUUUAAGGUAUUUUGACGUCGAGAAUCCCACAAAACUCGUGUUUUUCAUAACUUAGACCCCUUAAACCCUUAUUUUAUGCCAAAUUUGAAUAUUUAAAACAUAUUUACAUAAAAGAAUAUUUAAGAUUUAUAAAGGUAUUAUUUUAAAUCAAGAUGAGAAUAAAGGGUUUGACUUUAUGAUUUGAUGUAAUUCCCAUUCUCCAUGCAAAUCACAGUAACCCAUAUAUUACCCACCAAAUAACAAUGCUUUGAACCUUCAGAUUUCCAUGUACAUAUUUCCCCCCUUUUUCUUUUAUCCCCUUGAAGCAACGACAUAAGAGAGCUCUAAACUCCACCAUUCUCUCACUUCUCUCAUAUUCUCUCCAAUACUCCUCUCAAGAGCAAGAACAAGGAUCUUGCUAAAGACUUAACUUCUCAAGUUCUCCUUAGAGUUCUUAAGUAAGUUUUUCCACUCAUCUAGCAUUUUAUAUACUUUUCAACAUAAAUUCACAUUAUUUCACCCAUAAUGAUAUGUGAGAAAGACUCUUAGGACAACAUUCCUUCCAAAGAAGUGCCUCAACUCACCCUUCAUGAAGAAGUUUUCAUGUCUCAACCACCGAGAUAUGUUCAUCCUCAAUAUCCUACUCACAUUUGCAAACUCAAAAAAUCUAUUUAUGGAUUAAAACAAGCUCCAAGAUCUUGGUAUAUUGAACUCACUACCUUUCUUCUCCAAUUCGGAUUCAAAAAAUCUCUAGCCGAUGCCUCAUUAUUCAUUUACAAACAUCAAAAUACUACCUAUUAUUUUAUGGUUUAUGUUAAUGACAUAGUGCUAACAGGAAACAACAACAACUUCCUCAACCAUUUUAUCACAGCCUUAAGCACAAAAUUUAUCUCAAAGACCUUGGUAUUCCUCAUCAUUUCUUAGGAGUUGAAGUAAUUCCCACACCUACAUGUCUCUUUCUUUCUCAACAUCGUCAUAUCCAAGAUAUUCUAAACCAAUUUUACAUGGAAGGUGCCAAAGAUGUUACAACACCUGUAAGUGCAACUGAACCGUUAUCCACCACUAAUCAGUCACCCACAGUUGAUGCAACUCCCUAUCGUAACCGUUAUCCAUCACUGAUCAGUCACCCAUAGAAGUGAUUUACCUUUUAUCUUAUUUGGUCCACGAAUCUAUAUUUCCCCCAAUUAACCGCACCUUCAAUAACAGAAUGCAAAAUAAUAAUAAUAAUAAUAAUAAUAAUAAUAAUAAUAAUAAUAAUAAUAAUAAUAAUAAUAAAUAAAAUAAAAUAAAAUAAAAAAAUAAUAAUUAUGAAUCCCUAAUUUAAAAGUGAAAAUCCCAAAUAUGUAUAGAGGCUUUGAAGAAAAAGAGUGAUGUGGUUUCUAGACCAUACCAUGAAAAGAAGAUACUUAAUCGAAGAAAAAAGCAAAGCAGUAAUUUUGAGAUGUAGAUAGAGGUAGCAAAUAGAGUGAACAGUCCGAUGAAAUCCUAAGAUUAAAAUUCGGAGCGUCGAUAGACUGUUGAGGAAAAUAAAAAAUCAUUAUAAAAGACAAAAUACAGUACAAAACACAAACAUAACCUAAUCGAAACAAACAACCAAAAAUAAAGCAGGAGUACUAACCAAAAUCGGACCCACAGCAGAUUGAAAGCACCAAGUUGGAGAGAGGGAAUGGAACGACAACCAACGUCGUCUUCCUAUAAAACAUUCGAUCGUGGCCUUCAAACAGAUGCAAAAACUGAAGAGAUACCGACGCAUCGAUGGUGAAUUGAAGCCACCGAUUUUUGAAAAAUUACUCAAAAUUGAAAGAUUAAAUGGAGAAGAUGACUUAGGCAAAGAAGACAUGUGUCAUCAAAAGAGAGAGAUGAAGAAGAUGACUCGGCUCCAAUGAAGCGGAAGGUGACCACAAAGGGACAAAAACAACUAUCAACCAUCACAAAACCAAAACAGAAAGCCACUUACAAAACAAGAAACAGUUGUUACUAUUCCUAAACACGAUGUAAUUUUUAAUAUGUAUAUUAAUGUAUAUUAAACCCAAUCCAACCCAACCCAACCCAUUUAACAAAAUUGGUUAGACACGAGUUGACCUAUUUACCUUAAACGAUUUGAAAGUCCCAACCUAACUCAUUAAUUUUGGGUUGGGUUCAAAAUAGAUUGACGGAUUGGACCGUUUCUUGCCUACUCUACUUCCACUUACUUUAUUCUAAGUCAUAGAAAAGUCCUUGCAUAUAAAAAAUUGUACUUUCCAAAAAUAAAAUCUUGAUGGCAAUCCAAUAAGUUUUUACACAACCUCCAAAUCAUACCUUAUUGUAUAUUGAGAAUAGCAUAGAAAACAUAUAAUAAUAUAUUUAUUUGUCUUUUGCUCCAACAACCACUAAAGUUUGCGUAGAAUCAAUUGAGCACCAUACUGAGGUUGUAGAGUGAGGAUAGUAUGUGGAGCAUGUGCGUACAAUGGAGAAAUCUCAAAGGAGAAACCUCUUAAAAUCAUAACGAGUGCUAAUUUUGCUUCCAGCAUAGCAAAGUUUUGGCCGAUACAUAUACGUGGACCCCCUCCGAAAGGGUAGUAUGAUGCUUGUUCCUUAGUUGCUUUUGACACACCUUCUGCAAAUCUCUCAGGUUUGAACUCUUUCACAUCAUCACCCCACAUUUCAUUGUCAUAAUGUAAAAGCAUCAUAUGCAAUUGGAGGAAUGAACCUGCCGGUAAGGUUAUGUUUCCUAAUGUAGUUUCUUCAUGAAUCAUCCGUCCCAAUCCUAUACCAGGCGGGUAUAACCUAAGUACCUCGUGCAAGAUCAUAUUAAUCUGCAAAAUAAAUAAUUACUAACUCUUUGUCAAGUACAAUAAUAAAAAAAAUGAGGAGGAAUGUGAUCAUGUUUUCGUUUACUUGUUGAAUUAAAAAAUAUUUUGAUUGGCCUAAGCACAUUUUUAAAUCUAGAUUUAGUUUGGUAUAAAAUACAUAACCUGAUUCAUUAUGCGUUUAUCUAAUUAAUUAACGGUUUGGUAAAUCCAAUCACUAGAAGAAGAAGAAGAAGAAAGACUUACAACUUUUAGACGACUUAAUCCGUCAAUAUCUGGUUUUCUGUCUCCAAACACUUUUAAAACUUCAUCUCUAGCACGAUCUUGCCAAUUUGUGUGUUGGGCUAACAAAAUCAUUGUCCAAACAAGCAAAUUUGCAGUAGUUUCUUGCCCGGCAAAAUAGAAAAGUUUGCAUUCUUGAAUGACUUCUUCGGUGGUGAGUCCGAAAUUGGUGUUCCCUUGUUGUCUGAUUUCUUUGUAAUUGGAAUCCAAUAAUAUUCCCAAUAAAUCGUCGCUGUUACUUUCCCCGGCUUUCAUUGUUGUCACUCGUUUAUUAAUAAUUUUGUUUAUUGUAGCCCUCACAUCUCGGUCAAUCUCCUUCAUCCUUCUAUUACUCUUUGUAGGCAAAAAUCUACAAAAUCAUAAUUGAAUAAGCAAACAGUUUUGCAUGAUUUCUUUUUGGAAUGUUAAGAGGCUAAAAACCAAAAAUUGUUAAAGGAAAAGCUUGCUCACCGGGAACCUGGAAUAUACAAGGAUUGUAUAGCCUUGAUAACUAACUCUGCUUGUUCUUUUUGAAGCUCAAAUAUCUUUCUUCCUUCCUGAUAGCUGCUACCAAAUGCUGUACGUGAUAUUACAUCACUAGUAAAGGUUUCGAGAUGAGGGUACACAUCAACUUCACAGGAUCUUUCUUUGGUUAAUUCUUCCCAUUUGUUGAUCAUCUCACUACAACUAAUGUAAAAAGCAGGUAACAUACUCUGCAAAAAGGAACGCUAAUGGAAUCAGUGGUUGAUUAAUUUUAAUCACAUAUUGCCACUUUUGGUCUGGUAAUUUAAAAAGCAGAUGAACCUUAAGCUUUUCCACAUGGAAUGCGGGAUUGAUAAUCUUUCUAUGUUUUGCCCAUUGAUCAUCCUCAGCAUCUACUAUCCCUCUAGCUAGCAACUUUAUUAAUGGAUUUCCUCCUUUCAGCUUUUGAAACUGAGAAUAAUUGUUUAGAACCUCUCGUAUUAGUGCAGGUUCUGUUAUGUGGAUCAUAGGUCGUGGGCCCAUCCAUGUAAAGAAAUUCUUUCCUUUACCUGUACACAAAUAUAGAUUGUUUAAAAGAUCAGAUUACACCUUUUUGCACAUAAUAUAGAUCGUAGCCUUUAUAUUCAAGAUCUUACUGUUUGACUUUGACUCUUUGAGGUCAAACUGACUACCUGUACAUUUGGGUCUAUAUAUAUGAUGCUUUGCAUAUAAUAUGUUUCUGCUAAACUCAUAUGGACAAUUUAAAUGCAAGGUACUUUAGUUUUUGAAAUAGCAUCAGCAUAUAAAAUUUGUCUAUUUCAGUUGGAAAGACAUGCUAACAGAUUUCAUUCCGUCAAGAUCUACUAUUUACCAAAAAAGAAAAAGUUACUUUCAGUUAAAAACUUUUCUAAAAAUUUCCUUCGAAAAACUCAAAAAAUAAGAUCUAUUAUCAAUGCUGAUACGUAUACAUUACAUACCAUAAGUCUUAGCAGAGUUAUAAAGAAAUGGCAUGAUACGUGGGACGAUAUCAUCGGUGAUAUUUAUGGGUUUCAAUUUGGCAUCCGCAGUCAUCUGCACCAUCUCUUUCAUGUCUCCAUAUAGAAAUUUGUAUGGAUUUCCGUUUAAGCCUUGUUCUCUGAGAAACUUGUCCAUCUUCUUCGGUUUCAACCAGACCCAGUUGAAAAAUCUCCAUCCGUAUAUCAUCACUAUCACUCCAACAACACAUACCACUGUGUUCAUCAUACUAAAACUUAGCUCCAUUUCUAGAGGAUAUUGAUCGAGGUAGGGUGCUUUUCUUUUCCUUAAGUAUGAAGAUACACACUGUGUUUAUAGGUUCAAGUUCUAAUACUAAGUAGUAGCAGGUGAGUAAAAGAGAAAUUGUAAUUGAUUUUGACUUUUGGGUUGUUGGUGACGAAUGAAGGGAUUUCAUUUAUCGAUGGAUAAUGUUCAAUCAUGUCCCUUGUGUUCUAGUUAUUAUGAUUAUGGUCCAUAUGUUAUGUAUUAUUGACUUACGUUUUUACAAUUACAUCACUCAUUUUUAGCUUGAUCAAUUUAUAUAUU
Molecule: long non-coding RNA, 26831 nt
Filed under: Lactuca sativa (garden lettuce)
Lineage: Eukaryota; Viridiplantae; Streptophyta; Magnoliopsida; Asterales; Asteraceae
Description: long non-coding RNA (LSAT_LNC002251)
Source: RNAcentral